RNAcentral lists this ribosomal RNA (253 nucleotides) under uncultured bacterium. RNAcentral's name for it is "partial 16S ribosomal RNA". It matches the Rfam family "Bacterial small subunit ribosomal RNA", at positions 524 to 776 of the family's 1533-position model. The record is from RNAcentral.
UACGGGGGGGGCAAGCGUUGUUCGGAAUUACUGGGCGUAAAGGGCGCGUAGGCGGUUUGCUAAGUUGGAUGUGAAAACUCUGGGCUUAACCCAGAGCCUGCAUCCAAAACUGGCAGGCUAGAGUUUUGGAGGGGGAAGCGGAAUUCCUGGUGUAGCAGUGAAAUGCGUAGAUAUCAGGAAGAACACCUAUGGCGAAGGCAGCACUCUGGGACGGUACUGACGCUCAUGCACGAAAGCGUGGGGAGCAAACAGG